GUCCACACCGUAAACGAUGCGUACUUGGUGUAAAUUGGCUCAACCCAGUUUGUACCGAAGCUAACGCGUUAAGUACGCCGCCUGGGAAGUACGUCCGCAAGGAUGAAACUCAAAAGAAUUGACGGGGACUCGCACAAGCGGUGGAGCAUGUGGUUUAAUUCGAUGAUACGCGAGGAACCUUACCUAGACUUGACAUGUAGUGGACCGCAGCAGAAAUGCUGUUUUCCGCAAGGACCGCUACACAGGUGCUGCAUGGUU
RNAcentral lists this ribosomal RNA (258 nucleotides) under uncultured bacterium. RNAcentral's name for it is "partial 16S ribosomal RNA". It matches the Rfam family "Bacterial small subunit ribosomal RNA", at positions 793 to 1050 of the family's 1533-position model. The record is from RNAcentral.